This is a ribosomal RNA of Lepisosteus oculatus (spotted gar), 112 nucleotides long. The record is from Rfam. NCBI's taxonomy places the organism in Eukaryota, Metazoa, Chordata, Actinopteri, Semionotiformes, Lepisosteidae.
GCCAGCAGCCAUAUCACCCUGCUACUCACAACCCACUGAAGUUCAGCAGGGGUGAGCCUGGUCAGUACCUGGAUGGGAGACCUCCUGGGAAAAACUAAGGUUGCUGCUGGAA